This 9589-nucleotide long non-coding RNA is filed under the name Gallus gallus (chicken). The record is from RNAcentral. Lineage: Eukaryota; Metazoa; Chordata; Aves; Galliformes; Phasianidae.
GUUUACAGAACUUUCUAUGGCUGUAAUCUUUGCUGUGUGUUUUCAAUAAAAGUCUAUUUGAGGGCAAAUUAUGCUUUAUGCCCAGGAUGGAGCAUGCCUCAUUCAGACUCACCUGUAAUUUGAAAAAUGACUUCCACAUAAAGCUCCAAUUCAGGAACUUGUGAAGCAUGCUCACAGUUAACUUUUCACCAUUAAUUACAUCGAGAAAUGGUGUCUCUGCAGUAAAAUGCAAAAUCUUUCACAAACUGCUCUGUCAACACCAGAUCUUUUCAAUCCAGCUGUAAGGCCUACUUGCCCCCAAAUCCUGCCAGACUGUGCAAACUCUCUUCUGGCAAAAUAUUGGAAACACACUGCAGGAUUUCUGUUGAAGAAAGAACUAUAUCAUAAGCAAUGCCUUUAAUGAGCGAAUGUGUUCACUGAGCACCCCCAAAAGACCCAGAAAGAGGGCAAGAGCAAUGUACUUUCCUACAACGAAAUGUUUGACUGAAUGAUUGAUGGAGAUCCGAAAUGGUGAGAAUACCUUCAGUUCAUGUUAGAGAUGCGAUCUUGUAUUCAGCAAAGGAUGUGUGACUGUUAUAUGUUAACUGUUCUAUUCAGUUUUCAGCAUGUUUGAAUAGAGAGACGUUAAUAUUAACCAUAUGACAGACUAGUGUAUUAUUUGUUAAGAGUUAACACUUCAAAUCCUAUUGAAACUGUCAUUGUUUACAGAGGAAAAGAAAAUGAUUUUCAAACAUUGAAGCAGGUGAACUUAAAGUGAUUUGUGUGUUUCUCUAAUGCAAUUAUUUUCCCCCAUGGACCCUCCUAUUUUACAGUGAAUGGGACAACAUUUUCUCUGAGGUCUCGCAAUUAGGUAUGUAGAGGACACAAAAGAUUCCAUAAAGUUGCACUGAACCAGCUGAAAUGGUAGGCCAAAUUUUGCUUUUUUUUCUGAAUCUAAUGAUCCCAUUGAACUCGGUAGAUCAGAAGGGAUGUGUCAGUGCCAAAACAUAGUUUCUUCCUAAUAUGGCAUCUAGUCCUGCCCUUGGAAGGAGACUGUAAUCUCCUUAAAAGAGGUUCUGAACUCUGUCAUUUACCUGUAACAUAAUUAAAAAUAACAUCGGACCUAUGAAGUUUGAGUGUUAUCUGGUGUGAAUAUUCACAUGCAGAGCACUACGCUCAAGUAAACUGCGAUAACAGCUAGUUAGAUGAACCUGAACUUUCUUCGAACUGAACAGAGAAAGCCCUGCACCUCUUCAGUAUGAUGCUGUAGAGCAGAAUUGUGAGAGCAAUGCAUAUCCCUUUUGGUUUUGUUUUUGAUUUUUUUUUUUUUUUCAUUUUGCUUCUGAGUAGAAUUUCUUCAAAACAGCCCGCACAACCCCAAAAAGCAAUAUAAAGAUCCCAAUAUUUGAAGUAGGAAACGUGGGUGAGUAUGGGCACAUCUCAUGGUGCUAACCACUAAAAAACUUCAAUUCAUCCACUAUCCAAAGCUGAACGUUAAUUCUUGAAGGAUGAUAUUUCAAUAAACAAAUACACCAGUGAAGAAAGACAUCUUCAACAUGCUUUUGGCAUCUAGUCACCUGCCAGGCUCUCAGCUGAUGUUCUCAGUGCAAUCAUAACAGGGGAUUACAUCUCAAAUCUUUUCUACUCUAUAUCCGAUAGAGCGUCACACGUGAGUAGUCUGUCGCCAGAUGUAAGGGCCGCUACGCUGAUUUAUGGAGCUAUCUUCAUUCUGCUUAUAAAAAUCAUACUCAUAGCAGUAUGCAAAGCCCUGUCUAGAAAACGGCGCAAGGUUUGUUAGAUGAGUGCUUGGUGUGCCGUGUCCAUCCUUUUACAUGGGCUGAGUAUCACUGACCGGGCUUCAAAACCAGUGAAUUUAGCACCAUUUAAAGGUGGCUGAUUCAAAUGUUAUUUGUCAAAAUCCUCUGAAGCUUCUUGUUUACAUUUUGUAAAAACAAUGAGACUAUGGCAGGUGCUGGCACGUACCUGCUCCUGAAUCAAAAUGUUCAAACAGAUAAUUCACAUCUACUUAUUUCGUAGAGAGGGACAGAAGUUCACAUUCCUCUUUCCAAUUCAUGCCCAGCUACCCUCAGUCUAAUUAUGGACAUUACUUGAAGUCCUAAAAGAAAUGAUGAGAAUAAAUACCAAAGAAGAACUCUGUCAGAGUCUUAGCUGCAGCAAAUGAAAUUAAUGCUUGAAGGAGCAGACCCAGAAUAAAAUCUUUUCUUUUUUUUUAAUGACAUAAAUAUAUAUUUCCUUUCAAUGAAGCGUAGCUUCCCUGAAAACCUGUUCUCUUGGGAAGACAAUGAGUUUAUAUGAAUGAUCUGUUAUCUUGGCAUGAAUUUAAAAUCUUCAGGGAGAUUGGGAAAAAGUAAAUACUAUAAAGUAUAACAUAGUUCUGUAUCUUGCUGAAAAUACAAGGGAAUGCAGACUUUUUUUCCUUUUAUACUGUAUCAUUACUGUAAGUUGACUGUAAGAUUAUGAUCCCUCUGUUCUGAUGUCUACUCACAUGAAAACAACCAGGAUGCUCAGUUUUCAGGUUUUAGGUUUCUGAGCUCUUUCAAAUCACAAAUAUCAAACUGAAGUUUUGUAUUUUAUGUAGCCAAGUCUGUAUAUGAGAUAAAAAUGACAUAGCUUUUAUAACUUUAAUCUUACCAUGAGGGGGAAGCAGCCAUCCUCAAUGUAUGCUGCACAGCAUAAAGGUGCUUUCAUCUUAAUAGUAAAACUCAUAUAAGCUGUUUAUCUGUUGAAACUGCUAAAAAAAAAAAUUCUACUUGAAUUUGUUAAUUGACCACGUUAGUAAUAUUUGAGAAAAGGAUAACUAGCAGAAAUUCCUAAACUUUUUGUAGUUUUGUUUUCCACUGGAACCAGUGUUUUGAUUCAUUGUUACCAUAGCAAUGUCUUCAGCGUCUCCUAUAGGGACCAACUGCUGAGGCUGCACUGAUGGGGUGCUUACUCAUAUUUCCUUGAAAAGAUUUAGCUCCAUACUCUUUGGACAGCAGUCCUAUAAGCAGGGAGUGAUCUCCUGAUAUUCCAUAUAGCUGUUCUUGUGAAACUUUUCCCAAAUGAAAAACAAACUAAAAUCACAGCAGCACAACCUACAGGUUGGUUGGGUUUGGGGUUUUGUUUUGUUUUGUUUUCUACAAAGGAACCAUUAUAUUUUAUAGAUACAACGAAGAGCUUUUUAUUGAUGACUGAAGAAUGUAAAUUAAGUAUAGGAUAUAUGUAAGUGGCAUGGAAUUUCUCCAUUUGUAGCGUAGCUUUUAGUUGGAAAUUUGAAAACUAACAUAUUCUCUAGCACCACCAGGAGCAGACCCACAUGCAGUUUAUAUUUCUUUUUUUCUUAACACUACCCAUGGUCUGUAACACACCACUGUGGUGACGGGGUAUCUUGUCCUUUUUCCUCGCUCCUGCAUUGCAAAUCCCACUUCUGUGCUGUCUCGUAGCCUCAGACAUCACUGGACUGGCAGUAGUUCAGCAUUUAUAUUCACGUUCAAUUUUACUUUACCCUCAGAAUCAAGAAUAUAGCUUGAACCUAACUUUUGGGACAGCAGGGAAGUCUGAUGAGUAAAUUUAAGAUCCCAACUUUCAAAAUCACAUAUGCAUCCAUUUGUCUGCUGUGAGUAGUCCUAGAAAGACAGUGUUCCUGGAAGAAGGAUUUGUGGAGGCUGCUCUGUGGGGUGCUUCCCUGCCCUUCCACACAGUUAUCUGUUCUCAGCAGUUCCAGUCACAGAGCCUGCAAUUCUCUUCAGGUUUUCUUGUCCAAACAUUAAAUCCCACUGCUUGUAUGCAUAUGGCGCAAGGUACUACUGCUUGUCUAACCUGGAUAUUCAGGUGGGCAAAAGCAAACAUAAAGAACAGACACCGUUUGGGCAAAGCCAGCGUUUUCUUUUUUCCACUGGCUCCUUGGUAAGUUAAUUUUGAAGUACAGAGGAUUUUGUUUCAAGCCCACUGGUGUUUUCCCAUGAAUUACCAUCUUGACCACUUGUGUGGUGUUACCUAUGAAGUGCCGUGAUGCUGUAAUUUGUGGACAGCACUUGUUCUGGGAUGAGGAGCAGUCCCAGUCAGAGCAAAGCCUCUGACUCCUGCAGAGAACCAAAGACCAGAAGCCAUCUGAAGUGACGCUUCAAGUACGGCUUUGAGCUGCUGAUUCAUACUGAAGUGUUUCUGAAGGUUAAGACCCCCUAUCAUGCAUUCUGCUAAAUAAUGUAAGUAAUUCCAGCGUUUAUAAAACGAUCAGAAGAGUUAUGUAUAACACAAAUUGUUUUAAGUACAUCUUGUCUUGAAGGAAUACGGAUCACGAUUUCUUAGUUGUGAAAAUAUUUGGAAAUGAAGAAUACAGAUUAUAGGACAAGAAUACAAAAAAAAAAGUAUUAAGAAUAAUUAAUAUCCUACUGUUUCUAAAUAGGUAGAGGACCUCUCACUGUUGUGGCACAGCUUUUCCCACAGGAAGAGGAACAGAUUUUGAGUUGCGCCAGGGUACAACAUCUGAGGAGCUCACCUCACUUUCAUUUCUUUCUGAGAUCUCUCUCCUGUAAGUGAAAUUGUAGUCAUCAUCACUAAUUCUUUUUUUUUUUUUUUUUUUUUUUUUUGGUAAGAGAUGUCCAAAUUUUGAAAUUCUUUCAAGUGUGGAAUUUUGGAGGCUUCUGAGGACUUGGAUAAUUUCAGAACAGUAUUAAAUCAGUUUGAUUCCAACUGACAUCAUUCGUUAUACUUCAUUCUAUAUUCUCUUUGAUUAUUAUGUAAGUGAAGCUGUUUCCAAAGUUGUCUUAGAGUUGUCCUCAUAGACCAGAUUUUAGUGAGAUAACUGGUUCUGAUUCUGUAACUCCAGUUCUGAGCUUAGACUGAGAUGUUCCUGUUACAGAACAGGUCUGGGUUCUGCAGUCCAACAUCAUGUAUGUGUACUGGCAAAAAAUCUCCUUACGCUUUCUGCAACAGUGUUAUGCAUUAGAAUCCAAACACGGAUGGCGUGAGAGGGCUGCCGGGUUGAUCUUUCUUAUUAUCCCUUUUGUUUGCCUUUUAAAUAUAAUCUUCAGCACUACAUCUUUGUAUUUUGUAUAGAGAAGUGAAGGUAAAUUCAGCCUGUCUGCAUUUUCAUCUCAGCUAACUGUGGCAGCUUUUCUUCCAAAGCUGCCCAGGAGCCUAAUUCAUUUAAAUUCUGACUUCAGAGAAAGAAUUGAUACCCCCACAGGUGAGGGUUAUUCUGAGCAGGUUUUGUAGAUAUGUGUGCUUAUAUUUGCUUUCUUUCAUCCUAAUAAACUUACUUUCUGCCAAGAAAAAUGCUGAAAACAUUUAAAACAUUAUAAACACUGAAGCAAAGUUAAGGCAAGAGAUGUGCUCAGCCUUUUCUGAUGAGGGGCUAGGGGCUGAAGUGAGGGCUAACUACCAAAACCCUUCCCACAAGUAUGAUAGUAUUUUCACACAUGGGUGAUGCCAAAAUGGCUCAGAUAUAGCUGCAGGUAGUACUGUGUAUGUAAACUGCUUCAAUGGUUUGCAGUAUCUCACAAUAGAUUUUUCCAGCACCUAGGGAUAGCGGUUCAGGUUCAUUCAAAAAGCAGUUCUUAACAGGCAGCAGUGGCACCACAGUGCUGGUGCUAUGUGGAGCGCCGUAUCGUUUUCUGGCAGACACAGCAGAGCAGUCUUUGCCCCAGCCCUGUAGGCAGUGCUCUGUGCCAAGCCCAGGGCACCACAGCACCCUGCAGGCUGAGCCCCUGGUCAGGUCAAGAGUGAAAGCUGCCUUUCACAGUGUAGAAGGCUUCCUAGGCUGAGCAGGAACAUCUGUCCCAGAUGGAGACAAAAGGGUGACUUGGGGAAAAGUAUAAAUCAUAGCCCUUUAAAAACAAAACAAAAAAUCUUUCCUCUUUAACUCCAUACAGAUUAGCCACAAAGUUGGGUUUUCAUUCCAGGUUCUCCACUAAGUAGAAGCAGUCCUGCACUUACACUAAUAUAAAACUAUUUCUAGGUGGCUUCAGAGGAGAACUCAUCACUGUGCAAACACUGUGCUCCGAGGAGGUACCAGAGCUUCUGAGCAGCUUUCCUUCUUUGCAGGGAGGAUCUGGUUGCAGCACUUUGUCUGCUUUCAUCAGGUAGUUCACUGAAGUGCUGGCUGUGCCCUGCAUGGCUCGCUUGCUGUCUGCAGCUACCGUCCUGAGAACUAACUGUACUGAAAGCACUUAGAGAUGGAAUGAACGUAAUGGAGACGUGGUUUGCUGUUCACUGUGAAUAUCCAGCUUGGAUAGUUGGAAUAACUGCAAGGGAAGAAUUGCCUUUGCAAAUCAUGUGCCUGAUACACUGUCUGAAUAGUAUUUCAGCCCUCACUGUUUAGUGAACGAGGACAUUAAGAUGCCCACAAAUGGAAGUGGAAUGAUUGAUUCCCAGGAAUAGUUUAACAGUCACAAAUGCAGUUUUUCAGGCUUCUUGCUGAACACUAGCCAAGUAAUAAGGCUUCAUUUAAACAGAUGAACUUUUAUUGUAGACUUAUACCUGAUUUCCUGCUUUCCUUUACUGACCACCAGAUGUUUUUCCAUAUCACAUGAAUUUUUGUUUACCUUAAAGCUGAUCUGUAGAUAUGCAUGAAACAGCAGCUAGCGUGGACAUGAAGUCUGAGCAUUCCUCAUACUUAGGGUGAGUCUUGUGAAACCUUUUCAGCAGCCAAAAGUCUUGAGCCUUUCACUGACAUAAGACAACUAAAAUAUCAGCAAAAUUGGUUCUGCUGUCAAUAAAAUCACCAAUUAACACUUGACUUGGGUUUGGGGCUUCUGAAUAGUAUAUACAUAUGUAACACUACAUACACAAACUUUUGUAGAACACAAAAAUGAAUGAUCCAGCUUAAGGUUAGUUCCUCUAAAUAGAUGGAGAGAGUAUCCACUUAACCACAUAGCCUAAACACAAUGAAGAUGGGGAAAAAGCUGUCUAUUUUCAACUGUGUUUAUUUUUUCACCGAUAAAAAUAAAAAGAGAAGAAAAAUAAUCAUAGUGCCUAUGACAAAGAUUGUGUUUCAAGGAGUGUGCAAUGUAUACCACUAUUAUUUUGACUGCAAAUGAAAACCGCUUUUGAACUGACUGUGGUUCAAGAGAAAUUAACAUAGAAAAACUGUCACACAGCAUUCCAGGAAAUGUUUUGGUUCAGUAUGUUUGGCCUCCGUUUUUGUGGAGCUGUACAUUCCUGUCCAUGGUUUUAAAGGAUAAAAAAAAAGAACUGAUUUCAGAAUCAAUGUGUAUUUUGACUCAUUUUUAUGUUUCUGAUGCCCAGACUGGUUUAUGCACGUGUGUAAGCAAAGGUGAGCGGUGUCAUUUUCCCACCUAGUGUCACAAGUGAGUUUUGUUGCAUGUUACUGAGUUCAGUCUCUUUUCCUUACUGAAGCAGUAUUUUCCUGCUCUCACCAGUGAUCACUUCUCUCCAAGCAGAGGUCCUAUUAGAAAAGCUGCAGAGAGGGACAAGACCGAUUUGUCUGAAGAUGAAAGCUUUCUGAUCUCAGCCUUGCUGGCAAGAGGACCAGCUGGGAUUAGCAGGGUUGAGUUCAGUCCCUCACAUCUCUGCCCCCACACGGUACAUAUGUGAAGAGCUCAGGUCUUCAGCUGUUGAAGGUCUUCAGCUGUCAAAGUCUACCUUUCCAGUUUCACCUACAAGUCUCUCAGCUUCAGGCCCCCAAAAUGGAGCAGGUAGAAGGUAUCAGAACAGCACAUUCACAGGGAGAAUCAACUGAGAAAAGUGCCAGAGUUGGCAAUAUCUUUAGCUCUGGAGUCCAAGUAAAUAAAUAAAUAAAACAAACAAAUAAAUAAAAGAUGUUCUUUGCACUUUUCAUCUUGACACAGCGGCGCACAAGAAAAAGAGAAGAGCGAAUCUUAAAGCGGCUCAUUUUUGGAAAGCAGAAGGUGGACAUCCCCAGACAGGCCUGCAGAAGAGUGGCAGCAGACAAACUGUUUCUCUCUCCUGGCCAGUGAGCAGCUUGGCCUCUCAAGAGCGCGGUCAAUGCUGUCCCCCUGACGGGAGGCUGAGGCUGUGGGGCCUUCCAGCAGUGAUGUCAAACGUGGGCCAUCCAGCCCGGGUGGUGACACCACCCACACUGUGCAGACAGCUACAUUUGAGGUUACACUGUCAUGCAUAACCCCUGGUGGUUUGUGAUGAACUGCUUGGUGUCGAGAGUACCCAUCAUCCAAAACUCCAAUGGGACUUACUUUCUUCGAAGUAAGUUCCUCCAAAAAUUUCCCCCUAGUACUUGCCAGGUAGCCUCAGAGCAAAGCCUAGAGCUGCUUUGCUCCCUGCAGCUGCCAAUUCCCCUAGCCUUGUGCCAUACAACAUAACUCCUCCUGACAGCCAAUGGGAAUGCUCCCAGGGCUGGGGGGCAGCAUGGCCAUAGCCCUGUAGGGCAUGGGGACACCAGGCCAUGUCUUGGUUCUCUGCCACUCAGGCUCACUUCAUGCCCUACCACAUAGCUCCCAGACACCACUGUGCAGAGCCCUUGUUUCCUUGCUAGCUCUUAGGCCUUUUUUUUUUUUUUUCCUAAAUGUCUCAGAAUAUCUGUCUGGAUCUGUCACUUGGCUUUUGCUAAUGCAUUGUGUUUUACUUGAAAUCUGUUUUACUUUAAAGGUGUUAGUUAGUUAAAAUGCUUUUGAACACAUUGGCUUAAAGAGAAGCAGGAACAUGCUCUACUUGCAAAUCUGCUCUUCCAAGUCCCCUGUUUCCUUGGGCAGAGGUACUGUGAUGCUGAAUCCCAUUGGUCUAAAAGGUUUUUUCUCUUUCCCAGGGCUAAGGAGAACAUAAUGCUUCCUAAGGUAAGGCUGCCACACCAACACACAUGCCUGGCCUAACAGAAAGGACAGCCAGGUGUUUUGUUGUUGUUGUUGUUUGUUUGCUUUAAUGUUCUCCCUCCUCCUUCAGUGGUGGAUAUUAUCUUUGUUAUUUAAUUGUUCUAUGGCACAGUAACUAACUUUAUUAGAUUGCAAAGGAGUUAGCAUGUUAAAGUACAACAGUCCUAGCUUUCUCUCUCACUUUUCAGAGUAAACACUUUAACUGAUCAUUUCAGAAAUGUACCUAUUUAGUAAGAAUCCCCUUUGUUUACUAUUAUUCAAGAGUAAAUUGCAAGUUACUUGUCUGCCACUUUUCAAAACUGAAAAAUCUGAAGUUUCUUUAGAACAGAUUAUAUCACAGUAGGGACUGCAAGCAGUCAGGCCAGCCAGUGAAACACUGCAUGGAGAGGAUCUGUGCUGAUUUUCAAGUGUGCAACUUGAAAUGUAAGAAGUAGGAAAGUAAAGAGAGUAGCUCAUGACAUUCCUGUUAGGAGUCAUGCUUGAUACUUGCUUAAAAUUUCAUGUACUUUUGAAAUUCCAUUUGUGGAUGUUAACGACACAUUAAUUACAACUGCUUUGUAAACCAAACAUUAGACAGCUUCAGAAAUUCCUAUGAUGGUCUGCAUCCUAAUCAUUCACAACACUUUGCGUAGUAUAAGGUGCAUGGUAACUGCUGAGUCAUGGACUGAACCACUGAUUGAUCACCUAGGAAAAGGACCAGUCAGCCCUGGGAGCACAGGUGAAGGCAAUUCAGCUGUGUGACCAGAAGGGGUAGAGCCUGGCUGCACCUCUAUUAUACCUCAUUUAAGGGUUGACUGCCGUGG